This 490-nucleotide ribosomal RNA is filed under the name uncultured bacterium. RNAcentral describes it as "partial 16S ribosomal RNA". It matches the Rfam family "Bacterial small subunit ribosomal RNA", at positions 30 to 507 of the family's 1533-position model. The record is from RNAcentral.
AUUGAACGCUGGCGGCAGGCCUAACACAUGCAAGUCGAAUGGUAACAGGAAACAGCUUGCUGUUUCGCUGACGAGUGGCGGACGGGUGAGUAAUGUCUGGGAAACUGCCUGAUGGAGGGGGAUAACUACUGGAAACGGUAGCUAAUACCGCAUAACGUCGCAAGACCAAAGAGGGGGACCUUCGGGCCUCUUGCCAUCAGAUGUGCCCAGAUGGGAUUAGCUAGUAGGUGGGGUAACGGCUCACCUAGGCGACGAUCCCUAGCUGGUCUGAGAGGAUGACCAGCCACACUGGAACUGAGACACGGUCCAGACUCCUACGGGAGGCAGCAGUGGGGAAUAUUGCACAAUGGGCGCAAGCCUGAUGCAGCCAUGCCGCGUGUUUGAAGAAGGCCUUCGGGUUGUAAAGUACUUUCAGCGGGGAGGAAGGGAGUAAAGUUAAUACCUUUGCUCAUUGACGUUACCCGCAGAAGAAGCACCGGCUAACUCCGUG